AUGGUGGAGGAGAUCAAGGGAAAGUGUCUGUGCACAUGCAAAGAGAGAUCAAACCCGAGGUAUCUCCAAAUCGCAGUUUCCCUAAAGCACUUCUGGGCUGAUAUGUCUCCUUCAUUUCUGCAAUACCAUCUACACCCAUUCUACAUUAUGGUUUUCUCCAUUUUAUUUUGUCAGACCACACUUACUUUUUUUUCAUGUCAAUUAAAAAAACUAUCUUCUGAUGGCCCCCUCCUGAUUUUCUAUCUUGUAUCAUUUUCAUUUAUCAUCAUUUAAUUGGUUUUCAGGAAGAAGAGGCAGUAAAUAUAUGUGCUCAGUUAGCUAGCUUUAAUCAAAAAUCCUAAAUGUAGGUUUUAAAAAAGAUAUCUGGAGCAGGGUGGGAAAUUAUAUUUUUUGCCAGUGUGGUGGCAAAAAAUAAAAAUCUGAAUCGGUGUUAGGACAGUAUUUCUGUGUUUACCUUAGUGCUUAGUAACGUGACUCUCCAGAUCCACAUAUUAAGGACACCAUGUAUUUCAGACACCUACUUCAAACCUCACUUUACAGUUAAGUAAGACCAGAAUUAGAAUGAUUUGCCCGAGGCCACACAAGUAGACAGUGGGAUAUUGAGAACAGAAAGAUCUAUUGACUCCUAGUUAACUUUUCUCUUACCUUACCACACUGUUAGGGAGUAACAAGAUGGGGGGACCGCGAGUCAGAUGAGAAAGGUCAUGAAAAAUAGUUAAAGGAUGACUUUUCCUGGGUAAUUAGCCGGAUGUCCAAGAAAUGAAAUGCUGGUCUGGCAGCACAUCGUCUAACAGUUGGUAGUCAUAUGCAGGAAGUACUGUAGGGGGAGAUGACAGCAGGCCCAGGAACUGCAACGAUCCAAGUGAGAGUCGAUCCUGGGAGCGAACAAUUACAGAGUCCGGGCAGGAUGAAACAGUAGAAACUGGUGAGUGAAUGAAUGUGAACGCUGAGGAGCGACUGGAAUUUGUUGGAGGGAUUAUGAGGCAACAUAAAGUGGCUAAUUAUGGUGGUUGGGGUAAGCAGGAGUAAAAUGAUGUCGUAACUCCUCUCAAGGACACCAAAAAUUAUUUUAAUAAAACACUGGAAGGCUGGGAAUAAAUAUAAUUCACACCGUUCUUUCUUGGUUUAGAGAUAGCUUAUCUACAUUCUUACAUUAAUGGCUACCCUCUGCAUGGCUGCAAAAAAAAAAAAAAAACCACACACACACACACAAAACAAAAAACAAAACCCGCUGCGAGUCUGCACGAGAAAAUCGGGUUGCCAGACUCUAGGACUCAGCUGCCCGCCCCCUCGCCUAGCUGUCGGAGGCUAAAUAAACAGCUCCCGAAGCAGUGUUUGGCACAGUGCACGGUCGGAGCGUGGACACUAAUUUCCGCCCACGCUCCCCACGUCCUGGUCGGGUCACCACAGAACACGACGUCCAGUACUGGGGUCCUCGACGAUGCCCGUGUGCGCACUCCCGCACAUCUCAGGUCAGAUGACCACUAACUUCGUGGCCACGCUCUGCGAAGCUAAGGGGGAAAAAGCUUCCUUGGCACAAAG
Molecule: long non-coding RNA, 1542 nt
Filed under: Callithrix jacchus (white-tufted-ear marmoset)
Lineage: Eukaryota; Metazoa; Chordata; Mammalia; Primates; Cebidae
Description: lncRNA (ENSCJAG00000078757.1)
Source: RNAcentral